Molecule: ribosomal RNA, 467 nt
Filed under: uncultured bacterium
Lineage: Bacteria
Description: partial 16S ribosomal RNA
Rfam family: Bacterial small subunit ribosomal RNA
Source: RNAcentral
GACGAACGCUGGCGGCGUGCUUAACACAUGCAAGUCGAACGGAAAGGCCCUGCUUUUGUGGGGUGCUCGAGUGGCGAACGGGUGAGUAACACGUGAGUAACCUGCCCUUGACUUUGGGAUAACUUCAGGAAACUGGGGCUAAUACCGGAUAGGAGCUCCUGCUGCAUGGUGGGGGUUGGAAAGUUUCGGCGGUUGGGGAUGGACUCGCGGCUUAUCAGCUUGUUGGUGGGGUAGUGGCUUACCAAGGCUUUGACGGGUAGCCGGCCUGAGAGGGUGACCGGCCACAUUGGGACUGAGAUACGGCCCAGACUCCUACGGGAGGCAGCAGUGGGGAAUAUUGCACAAGGGGCGGAAGCCUGAUGCAGCACCGCCGCGUGCGGGAUGAGGGCCUUCGGGUUGUAAACCGCUUUCGCCUGUGACGAAGCGUGAGUGACGGUAAUGGGUAAAGAAGCACCGGCUAACUACGU